Molecule: long non-coding RNA, 570 nt
Filed under: Bos taurus (domestic cattle)
Lineage: Eukaryota; Metazoa; Chordata; Mammalia; Artiodactyla; Bovidae
Description: long non-coding RNA NONBTAT008137
Source: RNAcentral
AUUUUAAGAGCAAAUCAGCACACUUGAUGGCAUGCUUUCCCAAACCCUGUGCUGGCACUCAGCCUGCAGAAUAGGAAGGUCUUGAAGCAACCCCCCCACCUCCCACCCAGGAGCUUCUAGUCUAGGAGAUAGGGCAAGCAAGCUCUCAAACCACAGAAGCUUCGAGAGUUCAAAACCCCAUCCAAUAGGAGAGCUGUUCCUAGACAGUAGUGGCUGUAGGUGCUAAGAGAAGAUCAGAUACACUGUACAGGGCAGUGGGGUUGCUCAUCUUCCCUCUCUGGGUCUCCAGAAAAGGACAUUUGGCAAUAUCCCCAACUCGCUCAUGACUGACAUUCUUUGACCCCUCCAAGUGCUUCAGCAGUACUAUUAUUCCCCACAGCACCAGUGGGUCCACGUCGCUUGAAUAUUAUUUUUGAUUUGACCACACAGAUGUGAUGAUGAUUCUGUUUCAUUUGAAAAGGGUCUGAGAAAGUGUACAGGUCUAAUUAUAUAUACAUAUUUAUACAUGUGUAUUUUUGUUUAUUGUUACAUUUUGACAUUGGACUUUCUAUUAAAUAAUUUUUAACAGUU